AAGGCCCCUUUGAUCGAUCGAUCGAUUGAAAAUACAUCUUUUGAAAUUCCGAGAAUUGCUUUGGCCGUUGGGUUUUCGACCCUAAAAUCAUUUAUUUUUUAUUUCCUUUUUCUCUCUCCUCCCUUCUUUCUUAUUUCUUUCUCUCUACCUCUUCAUCUCCUCUCUGUCUCAGCUUACUCUCUCUCCCCGAUUCCAAAACCCUCCCUCUCCAUCUCAAUCUCUAACUCUCUCUCACUCUCAACCUCUUCACUCCGGCGACCCAAGACCAUCCCCACCCAACCACCUCCACUUUCUCUUCCUCGUGCAGGCGAAGCUUCUAGCGAACCCAACCAAGUCGCCGCCAUUUACAAUAGUUUCUGGCGAACCUUUUGGCCAAAGGCCAAGCUUGUUCGUCCUCUUUAGCCUAAAUCUCUCUCGGCUUCUCUCAUCUUCAUCGUCUUCGGUCAAUCUAGGCCAAGGAAAGAUCAAUUUAUCACUUCGGUGAACUCUGUAUUUUCUGGCGAACUCUGGCGAGCCUCAGAUCAUCCCUUUCGGCUACGGUGACGCCAGAAAUUUUUGUUUCGUCUCCAAUUUCCCUAUUUCCACCUUCACUCUUUUUCUCAGCACCGGGUGCAGUGUAGGCAAAAGACUCUUGUUGGAAAAAGAGUUCCCAGACCUCCUCAACCUCCUCCAUCUCUAGAGGUGGACUCAUCUUCAUCUUCUAUUGAGGCUACCCCAUCUGCAUUAGUCCAUUCAGAGCCAUCUCUUAUGGAGGCACAGGGUCCUAUCGUCCGAGCAGUGCCUUCUCUCUCUUACUCUGGCAAGAAACUUGAGUUAGAAUUUAGAUUCGACCACGAUCCAUUUUCUGAGUUGGAGCAGACCAAGUGGUUUUAUGAUGAGCUCACUCGUUGGGGCAUCGAUGCUAUCAUGACAUUGGCAAACACUAUAGUCUAUCCCUGGUUGGUUGCAUUGUUCUUCCAGCACCUCCGAUUGGAUGAGGAUGAUCGACUAUUGAUGCAUACGACUAUAGAUGGUUAGGAUAUCGACAUUUCUAUCCCUGCCAUAUUUACUGCUUGCCGAUGUCCCCACCUCUCUUCAUUGGUCGCUGGCUCUGAGGAUCCAUUAUAUCCCAGUGCUCCACCUUAUCCCUCUGAGAUGACCAUGGUUGCGACGCUAUCUCCACAGGCAGCCUUUGAAGGCAAUACAUUUGGAGAUCGAGUUGAUAUUGAUCCCCAAUACUGGUUCUUUGAUUCUGUGUUGCACCUUAAUGCCUUUCCUUCAGGCCAUAGCACAUAGAGGCGAGAGAGGAUUCUCUAGGCUUUAAAUUUUUGAGCCAGGGUUGCUGGAUUUCUGUUCUUGCUCUUAUCUGGGAGAUCAUUCAUAAGUUCUGGAAAAAUCUGAUCUUCACACAUAAUUCUAGAACUGAUGCUUGGCCUUUACUAUAUGGCCACCUGAUUACAUAGUUGUUGAUUUACUAGGGCUACCACUUUAACCCGGAUAAGACUAAUGUAGAGAGAGCUAAGAGGGCAUAUAACAUUGCCAAAUAGACAAAGACUUAUAAUUCUUGCCUCAAGAAUAGGAAGAAAAAAGACAACAAAAGGAAGUGAGAUCAGAAGAGAACCGAAGAGGAUGCAGCUGCAGAGGAGGCAGCCGAUGGAUCACUUCUUAGACAGCUACGACGCACUAUUACUUUCGCAUCUACUUCACAGCUAGAUGUACCUCUUGCAUCCCAGUAAGCCGGCCCCUCUCAUGUCCCUCCUAUAGAGCCGAUACCAAAGGCCGAUUCUUGAUCCCGUCAUGCCAGUUCAGAUUCUAGCUACAGAUCUGAUUUCAUUCAGCUGCAUACAGACUUCAUUUCUUUUAGAGCUGACAUUACCGGGUAUCACGAGGAUAUCACAAGGUGUUAUGAUGAUUUGGUGAGGAGGCACGAUAAUUUAGUUCGGCGAUCUGAUGACUUGAGGACAUACAUUUUCGAGGCGACGAGAGAUAUUGCGACAUUACGGAUGCUCCAAAUCAUUGCCGACAUGAUGGCUCCGGAUGCUGCUCCCUUAUUCUACCAUUUUCUAUCUCUAUUAUUAUCUGUUCUGAUACACUGAUAUUUUGCUACACUGUUAUUAUUGGGAUAUUUUUGCACUGAUUUGAUAUCUGCCCCCAAUUUUGGAUAUUUUAGAUAUUUUUGUCGUGCACUUCAUAUUCAUUGAUUUUUGGAUUAUGGUUUUAGAUUUACUUGAUAUAUAUAGAUUUUUGGAUUUUGAUAUCAGUUUUGGAUAUUCUGAGCUUUAUACUGCUAUAUGCUAUGAAUUUUGCCCAGUUCUCAGUUUCACCUCUCAUUUAUAUCAUUGAUAUAUAUGCUUUAACAGUUCUUAGUGUGACCAUUUUUCAGACAGGUUUUUGGAAUCCAAGUUUGGAGGUGCGCCUUUUUAUGCUAAGCUUCCGGUGCCGAGUCCUAUUUGCUACACCCAUUUGGUAUACUCUUUCCAUUAUCUGUUGCUUCUUUGCAUAUUAAGGAAAAUGCACAGAAUAAGUUUGGGGAUGUGUUAGCAUAUUUUACAUGUCGCACUUAGUUUUUAUGCAUGUGGUAUGACUUGAAAGUUUUGAGCCAUGAUUUUGAUCUUUUAAGAACUAUGAUACUUAGAAUUUAAAAAUUGCUUGACUUGAGAGUCUAAUACUCCUUGUAUGCUUUGUGGAUGCCAUUUAGGAGUAAUUUUUUCGAAAGAUUGAUAUCGUCCUUACAUUUAUAGUUCACAUCAUCCUGAUUUUGUGAUUGUUUUGAAAUUCACUCUAGGAUUCUACACUAGCACAUGCGCACACUAGCAUUCAUUUGUGGGGUACAUGCUUUGUUGAUUAUUGAUUUAGUUAUAUCCCAAUUGAGCUAGUAGUGCAUUGAAAGUUUUCAUUCUUGACAAAGGUGGAUAACAAACCCUUUUCACUAAGUGGCUUGGAUUCUAGUCUCAUCAAACACUGAAUUUCUUGUGCCAAAAGGUGGAGGACCCAAACUCUAGGUUAAAAAAAAAAAAGCAAAUUUGCAAAAGCAAAUAAAAGUGAGGACUUCUCCCAAAAGGUGAGAAGUGGGAAAUGAUUAGAUGGAGGUUGUUUUAAUUUUUAGCCUAGUUGAUUUGAGCUUGUAAGUUUUUAGGGGUGUUUCUACACCUAGUGCCCUAAAGCCGUCCGGUUUGGGAGUCAUUGACCUAACGCUCGACCUCAUGAAUCGCUAGAAUGCUUAAUAGAUCAACACAUUGAUUGCACCAUGCUUCCAUCUUUGAUCCAACAAAAAAAAUAAAAUAAAAUAAGUACACCUAGUUGAAUAAAGCUUUUAAUAAAAAGGUUCAUUCUUUGUCUUGAUGAUCGGUACUAGAUUAGUGUGCUAGCUUGAGGCCGCAUGUGAUCAUUUCUCUAGUUGGCUUAUAUAGCAAUAUAUUUGAUGCCGGUUCACUUAAAAAGGAUUUUAGAGUUGUUUUGAUUUUCAUGAUCAUUGUCUUGAUGUGUGAAGGACCAUACUUGCUUGCUUGGUGUUGAAAUUUUGGAGAGUUGCUUGGAAAUGGUUGAAAAAUUACAUAUUUGAGGUAGUUUUCUCCCAAUGCUUGUUUUAUAUGUUGGUGCCUCUUAACUGAGAAAGAGCUUAAUGUUUGUGGGUAUCAUUUCUGGAAACAUUCAUGAGACUUUAAUCAUCCACUAGAGGUAACCUAGGGGUUCAAAAGGCUUGUUGCAUACUCUAAAUGCAAUCGUGUUCCCUACGAAACUAGCGCUAUCCUUUCAUUGCUUUCUAGUUCAUAGUUACUUAGUUGUUUAUUUCUUUCUUUUCUUUGUAGUUUAUUGCUAAGGACUAGCAAUAUCUAAGUUUGGAGGUGUGAUAAGUGCUCAAAUGUGAUGCAUUUUAGCACCUAAGUUAGGGUAUUUUAGUCCAAUCAUCUAUCUUACUUUCAUGUUUUAGUUCUUAUUUGUGUUUUUGUCUAUUUCAGGUCAAUAAGGUUCAAAUAGGCUAAAAAGAGCCUUUUAGCUCAAUUUUGGAGCUAAGGAGAAGAUCCGGAAGAAGUCAGAAAAAUUGCACUGUUGAGGCUUCGAUUAAUCGAAGACAUCUGCAAUCGAUCAAGAUCAAAGCGGUGCCAGCUCAAUGGAUAGGGUUGCCAAGUGUUAAAAAUAUCUUGCCACGUUAGCUUUGAUCGAUCGAAGCAAGUGUUGGAUCGAUCAAAGUUACUGUUGGUAGUGUGCUGUCUAAUUCCCGAGCACACCCGAACUCUACCAACUUUUGUAAGUGUGAGUUUUCACCAAUCAAAAGCCUUAUUUCUGACUUGUUGCCUACUCAAAGAGCAUUGUAUUUAAAUUAAAUGAACCAAUUUGUAAAAAGUUCCUCUAGUUGAUAUUUUACCAAUUAUAGAAAUAGUUUCUCUUUAGAACUAGGGUUUUGGGAAGAACACCAAGGAGGAAGAAGAUCAAUUCCACCAUGAAGAUGGCCCUUGAUGGUUGGAUGCCACCUACUAUGAGUGGCUAAAUUCCUCACUUGGGGCUAGAAUUAGCCCCUAGGCUUGCUUCUUAAACCUAGUCUUUUGUAGAUUUUUGGGGAUUUUAGUUGUAAUUGAUGUUUUGACCAUGAAUAAAUAUAGAUCUUGUGUUUUUA
This is a long non-coding RNA of Cornus florida, 4594 nucleotides long. RefSeq lists it as uncharacterized. The record is from RefSeq and is a predicted model, not a curated record. The transcript has 2 exons. NCBI's taxonomy places the organism in Eukaryota, Viridiplantae, Streptophyta, Magnoliopsida, Cornales, Cornaceae.